UACGUAGGUCCCGAGCGUUGUCCGGAUUUAUUGGGCGUAAAGCGAGCGCAGGUGGUUUAUUAAGUCUGGUGUAAAAGGCAGUGGCUCAACCAUUGUAUGCAUUGGAAACUGGUAGACUUGAGUGCAGGAGAGGAGAGUGGAAUUCCAUGUGUAGCGGUGAAAUGCGUAGAGAUAUGGAGGAACACCAGUGGCGAAGGCGGCUUCCUGGUCUGCAACUGACACUGAGGCUCGAAAGCGUGGGGAGCAAACAGG
This 252-nucleotide ribosomal RNA is filed under the name uncultured bacterium. RNAcentral describes it as "partial 16S ribosomal RNA". It matches the Rfam family "Bacterial small subunit ribosomal RNA", at positions 524 to 776 of the family's 1533-position model. The record is from RNAcentral.